CCUACGGGUGGCUGCAGUUAGGAAUCUUCCACAAUGGGCGAAAGCCUGAUGGAGCGACGCCGCGUGAGGGAUGAAGGUUCUCGGAUCGUAAACCUCUGAACUGACGACGAAAGACCCUUCGGGGAGAUGACGGUAGUCAGGUAAUAGCACCGGCUAACUCCGUGCCAGCAGCCGCGGUAAUACGGAGGGUGCAAGCGUUACCCGGAAUCACUGGGCGUAAAGGGCGUGUAGGCGGACACUUAAGUCUGGUUUUAAAGACCGGGGCUCAACCCCGG
This 275-nucleotide ribosomal RNA is filed under the name uncultured Deinococcus sp. RNAcentral's name for it is "partial 16S ribosomal RNA". It matches the Rfam family "Bacterial small subunit ribosomal RNA", at positions 338 to 618 of the family's 1533-position model. The record is from RNAcentral. Lineage: Bacteria; Thermotogati; Deinococcota; Deinococci; Deinococcales; Deinococcaceae.